This is a non-coding RNA of Schizosaccharomyces pombe (fission yeast), 282 nucleotides long. NCBI's taxonomy places the organism in Eukaryota, Fungi, Ascomycota, Schizosaccharomycetes, Schizosaccharomycetales, Schizosaccharomycetaceae. The record is from the annotation of a GenBank genome assembly.
UCAAUAUCAGACCCUUAGCCUGAAUGAAUCCAGGUAUGGCACUGUCUUAACGAAUUAGCUCCCAUUCAUCCUACACGCUUCCGUUGGGCUGGAAAUUGCCUCGUAGGGUGCAGACGCCCAUGAAAAUUUACCUGCCGUACACGAAAUAUUGAAGUUGACCAUGGUGAUGUUGCCCGAGACGAAAAUUGAUGUUUUAUUUACAUCGGCACGAGAUUAGAUAGCUGGCAAAGAAGAUGCGGCUGUUUUAUCUAAGUCAAAUAAUAUAACUAUAUACACGUAUAA